RNAcentral lists this ribosomal RNA (500 nucleotides) under uncultured Glomeromycotina. Its description in RNAcentral is "partial small subunit ribosomal RNA". It matches the Rfam family "Eukaryotic small subunit ribosomal RNA", at positions 591 to 1092 of the family's 1831-position model. Lineage: Eukaryota; Fungi; Glomeromycota. The record is from RNAcentral.
CCAAUCGCGUAUAUUAAAGUUGUUGCAGUUAAAAAGCUCGUAGUUGAACUUCGGGAUCAAUGGAUCGGUCAUGCCAUCGGUAUGUACUGGUCUCAUUGGUUCUCACCUUCUAAGGAACCAUGAUGUCAUUCAUUUGAUGUUGUGGGGAAUUAGGACUGUUACCUUGAAAAAAUUAGAGUGUUUAAAGCAGGCUAACGCUUGAAUACAUUAGCAUGGAAUAAUGAAAUAGGACAUCGCAUUCUAUUUUGUUGGUUUCUAGGAUCGAUGUAAUGAUUAAUAGGGAUAGUUGGGGGCAUUAGUAUUCAAUUGUCAGAGGUGAAAUUCUUGGAUUUAUUGAAGACUAACUACUGCGAAAGCAUUUGCCAAGGAUGUUUUCAUUAAUCAAGAACGAAAGUUAGGGGAUCGAAGACGAUCAGAUACCGUCGUAGUCUUAACCAUAAACUAUGCCGACUAGGGAUCGGAUGAUGUUGAUUUUUUAAUGACUCAUUCGGCACCUUACG